AACAUGCAAGUCGAGCGGUAAGGCCUUUCGGGGUACACGAGCGGCGAACGGGUGAGUAACACGUGGGUGAUCUGCCCUGCACUUCGGGAUAAGCCUGGGAAACUGGGUCUAAUACCGGAUAUGACCUCCUGUUGCAUGACUKGGGGUGGAAAGAUUUAUCGGUGCAGGAUGGGCCCGCGGCCUAUCAGCUUGUUGGUGGGGUAAUGGCCUACCAAGGCGACGACGGGUAGCCGACCUGAGAGGGUGACCGGCCACACUGGGACUGAGACACGGCCCAGACUCCUACGGGAGGCAGCAGUGGGGAAUAUUGCACAAUGGGCGAAAGCCUGAUGCAGCGACGCCGCGUGAGGGAUGACGGCCUUCGGGUUGUAAACCUCUUUCAGCAGGGACGAAGCGCAAGUGACGGUACCUGCAGAAGAAGCACCGGCUAACUACGUGCCAGCAGCCGCGGUAAUACGUAGGGUGCAAGCGUUGUCCGGAAUUACUGGGCGUAAAGAGUUCGUAGGCGGUUUGUCGCGUCGUUUGUGAAAACCAGCAGCUCAACUGCUGGCUUGCAGGCGAUACGGGCAGACUUGAGUACUGCAGGGGAGACUGGAAUUCCUGGUGUAGCGGUGAAAUGCGCAGAUAUCAGGAGGAACACCGGUGGCGAAGGCGGGUCUCUGGGCAGUAACUGACGCUGAGGAACGAAAGCGUGGGUAGCGAACAGGAUUAGAUACCCUGGUAGUCCACGCCGUAAACGGUGGGCGCUAGGUGUGGGUUCCUUCCACGGAAUCCGUGCCGUAGCUAACGCAUUAAGCGCCCCGCCUGGGGAGUACGGCCGCAAGGCUWAAACUCAAAGGAAUUGACSGGGGCCCGCACAAGCGGCGGAGCAUGUGGAUUAWUUCGAUGCAACGCGAAGAACCUUA
Molecule: ribosomal RNA, 905 nt
Filed under: Rhodococcus erythropolis
Lineage: Bacteria; Bacillati; Actinomycetota; Actinomycetes; Mycobacteriales; Nocardiaceae
Description: bacterial SSU rRNA
Rfam family: Bacterial small subunit ribosomal RNA
Source: RNAcentral